AUUCCACUGGCCAGAGGCAGUCUUGGGAGGAUUUGUGUUCUGGUUUAUUCAACUCUGGCAAAUGGUCACCGAGCCGGCAGUCAGCUUUCUGGGAGUGGGAGAUGAUGGGGAAAGAGGAAAGAAUCGUCCGCUCGCCGGACCCUGGCUUGGAGAAGUUCUGCGCUCCGCUGGGACUCUGCGGGCCCUUUGCGUCUACAGACCUAUCCCUGCCCCGACUACCCCUUCACUCAGACCCAGAAAGAUCCGCUAUGCCGCCACCCACCACUCCCCUGCGUGACACUUAGGAGUAUGUAAUUAUUAUGGUUAUUAUUUUUGCUGUUUCCUUAUCUCCAAGUCUAAUAUUCAUGGCUGCUGUACCCCAUAAAUCGUUCAGACUAAUGAGUCACAGAGAGA
RNAcentral lists this long non-coding RNA (393 nucleotides) under Homo sapiens (human). RNAcentral's name for it is "HSALNT0339890". Lineage: Eukaryota; Metazoa; Chordata; Mammalia; Primates; Hominidae. The record is from RNAcentral.